This 185-nucleotide antisense RNA is filed under the name Sorghum bicolor (sorghum). Its description in RNAcentral is "lncRNA IsrR". It matches the Rfam family "Antisense RNA which regulates isiA expression". The record is from Rfam by way of RNAcentral. Lineage: Eukaryota; Viridiplantae; Streptophyta; Magnoliopsida; Poales; Poaceae.
AAUAACCAAAUAUAACACCGGGGCUAAGGGUCAAAUUGGUAAUUUUCCUUACAUUCCCCCCUAGGGGGGCAGGUAUCGUAUACACCGCCAAAAUAAAGAGCCUUGAGUACUUGAAUAAAAGCACCUAGACCUAACAAAAUUAAGUGAAUAUCCAAAAUUGUAGUCAUUUUAUUUCUAUCUUUCCA